CCAACAGGGAUUGCCCCAGUAACGGCGAGUGAAGCGGCAACAGCUCAGAUUUGAAAUCUGGCCCCUCCGGGGUCCGAGUUGUAAUCUGUAGAGGAUGCUUUUGGCGACGCGCCUUCCGAGUCCCCUGGAACGGGGCGCCAGAGAGGGUGAGAGCCCCGUAUGGUCGGACGCCGAACCUUUGUAAAGCUCCUUCGACGAGUCGAGUAGUUUGGGAAUGCUGCUCAAAAUGGGAGGUAAAUUUCUUCUAAAGCUAAAUACCGGCCAGAGACCGAUAGCGCACAAGUAGAGUGAUCGAAAGAUGAAAAGCACUUUGAAAAGAGGGUUAAAUAGCACGUGAAAUUGCUGAAAGGGAAGCGCUUGUGACCAGACUUGCGCCCGGUUGAUCAUCCAGCGUUCUCGCUGGUGCACUCUGCCGGGCUCAGGCCAGCAUCGGCUCCCCCAGGGGGAUAAAGGUCGCGGGAACGUAGCUCUCUCCGGGGAGUGUUAUAGCCCGUGGCGGAAUACCCUUAGGGGGGGUCGAGGCCCGCGUUCGCAAGGAUGCUGGCGUAAUGGUCACCAGCGACCCGUCUUGAAACACGGACCAAGGAGUCAAGCAUUAGGGCGAGUCUUUGGGUGUAAAACCCGCAGGCGCAAUGAAAGUGAACGGAGGUGAGAGCUUCGGCGCAUCAUCGACCGAUCCUGAUGUUCUCGGAUGGAUUUGAGUAAGAGCCUUACCGCUUGGACCCGAAAGAUGGUGAACUAUGCCUGAAUAGGGUGAAGCCAGAGGAAACUCUGGUGGAGGCUCGCAGCGGUUCUGACGUGCAAAUCGAUCGUCAAAUUUGGGCAUGGGGGCGAAAGACUAAUCGAACCA
RNAcentral lists this ribosomal RNA (850 nucleotides) under Distoseptispora phragmiticola. RNAcentral's name for it is "Distoseptispora sp. QZ-2022a partial large subunit ribosomal RNA". It matches the Rfam family "Eukaryotic large subunit ribosomal RNA", at positions 65 to 942 of the family's 3401-position model. Lineage: Eukaryota; Fungi; Ascomycota; Sordariomycetes; Distoseptisporaceae. The record is from RNAcentral.